Neogale vison (American mink) is the source of this 1024-nucleotide long non-coding RNA. RefSeq lists it as uncharacterized. The record is from RefSeq and is a predicted model, not a curated record. NCBI's taxonomy places the organism in Eukaryota, Metazoa, Chordata, Mammalia, Carnivora, Mustelidae. The transcript is spliced from 5 exons.
AAGGAAGAGAAUCCCGAGAAGAAGGAGAGCCUUCAUGUUGACUGGGAAGCCAGACCUCCGGGCUGACCAGGGAGAGCAGUCCUCGAGCCCCAGCUGAAACCCUAAAAGAGUAGAAGGACAAAGAAUUUCCUCCCCCUGUCAUUUCUAGUGAUGAGGAUGGGCAAGUAGAAGGCUGGAAAACUCCUCUCUCCACAAAGACUGCAGUUGACUUGUAGGGUAACUGACAACAGACCAGCAGAAGGAUGAAUGGUUAAACAAAUUGUGGCACGUCUUACCCUAUGGAACACUACUCAGUAAUAGAAAAGGAGCGCAUUAUUGAUAUACACAACAUAAACUUGAAGGAACUUCAAGGAAAUUAUGCUGAAUGAAAAGAGUCCAUCUAAAAAGGAUACAUACUGGAUGAUCUCACUUAUUGAAGGAGAAAAUCAACCACAACACUGUAAGGAUGCUCAAAAAGGUCUAUGGAGAGGUCUGUGUAGUGAAAAACUGUGAAGUCUUUUGCCAAAGCCCACUUGGAAGUAAAUCCUUCGGCCCCCAUCAAGCCUUCAGAUGAUUCCAGCCUCAGCUGACAUCCUGACCACAACCUCACGAGAGAUCUUGCUCCAGAAGAACCCAGCUAAGCUGCCCUGAAGGUCCUCACCCACAAAAACGAGGCAAUUAGUAGCUGUUUACCACAGAAGUCACUACAUUUGGGGGUAAUCUGUUAUACGGCAAUAGAGUCAUCUCACAGAUGAAGUAUUUUGAAGAUACCUGGGCCAACUAGAUGAUCUGCUCAUGAUGAAGCUGUUCAAACUUUGCAACAUGGGCUCAAAAACAUUUUAAGGGCUCCAAAAUAUAUUUUUCAAAGAUUUGAAAAGAAGCCGAAUCGUGAAGCUGCAGCAUGUUUUUUUCCCUAACAGCUGAUAAAGCUCUAAUACACCAUUAAAUUCCUUUUAAAUAAUUAUAAGAUUAUAGGAAAGUUGAAAGAAUAUUAUAAACUUUCCCUGAAUCAUUUGAAAAUAAAUUUCUGAGCAGAUGUCCAUCA